Molecule: ribosomal RNA, 191 nt
Filed under: Staphylococcus aureus
Lineage: Bacteria; Bacillati; Bacillota; Bacilli; Caryophanales; Staphylococcaceae
Description: partial 23S ribosomal RNA
Rfam family: Bacterial large subunit ribosomal RNA
Source: RNAcentral
GGCAUAGCUGGGUAGCUAUGUGUGGACGGGAUAAGUGCUGAAAGCAUCUAAGCAUGAAGCCCCCCUCAAGAUGAGAUUUCCCAACUUCGGUUAUAAGAUCCCUCAAAGAUGAUGAGGUUAAUAGGUUCGAGGUGGAAGCAUGGUGACAUGUGGAGCUGACGAAUACUAAUCGAUCGAAGACUUAAUCAAAA